Long non-coding RNA from Bombus pyrosoma, 414 nucleotides. RefSeq lists it as uncharacterized. The transcript is spliced from 2 exons. NCBI's taxonomy places the organism in Eukaryota, Metazoa, Arthropoda, Insecta, Hymenoptera, Apidae. The record is from RefSeq and is a predicted model, not a curated record.
AAUUAAAUGACACCCAGGAACCAGAGGACUAUCAUGGAGAUUGAUAAUCGUAUGGUCUCUGAUAUCAAAUAUGCACAUAUGUGAUCGGGUACAUUGCUCGCUUAAUAAUGCUGGACAUUGUAAACGAGACAGAGAAGGGUUGAGAGGGUGUGUGGCCUGCGAUCCGAAUAGAUAACCGAGAACCGAACGGAAAGCCGUAAAACACGGAAAAACCGAACCGAGUCAUUCGACGACACGCUAAAAGCUUCUUAAAAUCGUACAAAGCACCAGUGCGUACAAAUUCACUCCUCCGUUCGUCUAUACAUACAACUUGAGAAUCACAAUGUCUCUCUCUUUCAUACGUAUUAUAAUUAUUCAUCUUUCUCGUUCAAAUUUUUUUUUUUUGUUUCUUUUUUUCUUUUUACCAUCGACGCA